RNAcentral lists this ribosomal RNA (253 nucleotides) under uncultured bacterium. RNAcentral describes it as "partial 16S ribosomal RNA". It matches the Rfam family "Bacterial small subunit ribosomal RNA", at positions 524 to 776 of the family's 1533-position model. The record is from RNAcentral.
GACGAACCGUGCUAACGUUGUUCGGAAUCACUGGGCUUAAAGGGCGCGUAGGCGGGUCGGCAAGUCAGGGGUGAAAGCCCGCGGCUCAACCGCGGAAGCGCCUUUGAGACUGCCGAUCUCGAGGGAGGCAGGGGAGUGCGGAACUUCCGGUGGAGCGGUGAAAUGCGUAGAUAUCGGAAGGAACACCAGUGGCGAAAGCGGCGCUCUGGACCUCUACUGACGCUGAGGCGCGAAAGCCAGGGGAGCAAACAGG